RNAcentral lists this ribosomal RNA (253 nucleotides) under uncultured bacterium. Its description in RNAcentral is "partial 16S ribosomal RNA". It matches the Rfam family "Bacterial small subunit ribosomal RNA", at positions 524 to 776 of the family's 1533-position model. The record is from RNAcentral.
UACGUAGGGUGCUAGCGUUGUCCGGAUUUAUUGGGCGUAAAGAGCGUGUAGGCGGUCUGGUAGGUCCGUUGUGAAAACUCGAGGCUCAACCUCGAGACGCCGAUGGAAACCAUCAGACUAGAGUCCGGAAGAGGAGAGUGGAAUUCCCGGUGUAGUGGUGAAAUGCGUAGAGAUCGGGAGGAACACCUGUGGCGAAGGCGGCUCUCUGGGACGGUACUGACACUGAGACGCGAAAGCGUGGGGAGCGAACAGG